CCCCCCGGCCGCGCCGUCGGGGAGGUGGAGCAUGAGCGCGUGCGAUAGGACCUGAAAGAUGGUGAACUAUACCUGGGCAGGGCGAAGCCAGAGGAAACUCUGGUGGAGGCCCGCAGCGGUCCUGACAUGCAAAUUGGUCGUCCGACCUGGGUAUAGGGGCGAAAGACUAAUCGAACCAUCUAGUAGCUGUUUCCCUCCGAAGUUUCCCUCAGGAUAGCGCGGCCCCCUCCCCA
Long non-coding RNA from Thalassophryne amazonica, 233 nucleotides. RefSeq lists it as uncharacterized. Lineage: Eukaryota; Metazoa; Chordata; Actinopteri; Batrachoidiformes; Batrachoididae. The record is from RefSeq and is a predicted model, not a curated record. The transcript has 3 exons.